This 253-nucleotide ribosomal RNA is filed under the name uncultured bacterium. Its description in RNAcentral is "partial 16S ribosomal RNA". It matches the Rfam family "Bacterial small subunit ribosomal RNA", at positions 524 to 776 of the family's 1533-position model. The record is from RNAcentral.
UACGUAGGGGGCUAGCGUUGUCCGGAUUCAUUGGGCGUAAAGAGCGUGUAGGCGGCCAUGUAGGUCCGGUGUGAAAACUCGAGGCUUAACCUCGAGAUGUCAUCGGAAACCAUUUGGCUAGAGUCCGGAAGAGGAAAGUGGAAUUCCUGGUGUAGCGGUGAAAUGCGCAGAUAUCAGGAAGAACACCAAUGGCGAAAGCAGCUUUCUGGGACGGUACUGACGCUGAGACGCGAAAGCGUGGGGAGCGAACAGG